AACGCACCUUGCGCUCCUUGGUAUUCCGAGGAGCAUGCCUGUUUGAGUGUCAUUAAAUUCUCAACUCCCUGAUUGAUUUCUCGGAGCUUGGACUUGGAGUGUGCUGGCGAAGGUCGGCUCCUCUGAAAUGCAACAGCGGAAUUCAAUCUUUUGGCUUCUGGAUGUCAGUGUGAUAAUGAUGUUGCGCUGUCGUCCGAGGCUCAAAGGUCCGCUUACAAUGGUCUUUAGACAACUUUAUAUCAAAUUUGACCUCAAAUCAGGUAGGACUACCCGCUGAACUUAA
Molecule: unclassified non-coding RNA, 283 nt
Filed under: Mollisia sp.
Lineage: Eukaryota; Fungi; Ascomycota; Leotiomycetes; Helotiales; Mollisiaceae
Also listed under: 1 other name
Description: partial contains 5.8S ribosomal RNA, internal transcribed spacer 2, and large subunit ribosomal RNA
Rfam family: 5.8S ribosomal RNA (bases 1-52)
Source: RNAcentral